CAAGGUACAGAGGAAGGGUCACACUACGACCAGGGUCAUAAAACUACCCCCGGAAAUGCCCACAACUCUUACGAAAGCCUUGUCAAAUAGGUGUUUCUAGGUUCAUGGUACAGAGGAAGGGUCAGACUACCACCAGGGUCAUAAAACUACCCCUGGAAAUGCCCACAACUCCUACGAAAGCCUUGUCAAAUAUGUGUUUCUAGGUUCAUGGUACAGAGGAAGGGUCACACUACCACCAGGGUCAUAAAACUACCCCUGGAAAUGCCCACAACUCUUACGAAAGCCUUGUCAAAUAGGUGUUUCUAGGUUCAUGGUACAGAGGAAGGGUCAGACUACCACCAGGGUCAUAAAACUACCCCUGGAAAUGCCCACAACUCUUACGAAAGCCUUGUCAAAUAGGUGUUUCUAGGUUCAUGGUACAGAGGAAGGGUCAGACUACCACCAGGGUCAUAAAACUACCCCUGGAAAUGCCCACAACUCUUACGAAAGCCUUGUCAAAUAGGUGUUUCUAGGUUCAUGGUACAGAGGAAGAGUCAGACUACCACCAGGGUCAUAAAACUACCCCUGGAAAUGCCCACAACUCCUACGAAAGCCUUGUCAAAUAUGUGUUUCUAGGUUCAUGGUACAGAGGAAGGGUCAGACUACCACCAGGGUCAUAAAACUACCCCUGGAAAUGCCCACAACUCCUACGAAAGCCUUGUCAAAUAUGUGUUUCUAGGUUCAUGGUACAGAGGAAGGGUCAGACUACCACCAGGGUCAUAAAACUACCCCUGGAAAUGCCCACAACUCUUACGAAAGCCUUGUCAAAUAGGUGUUCUUGGGCGACGAA
Eriocheir sinensis (Chinese mitten crab) is the source of this 829-nucleotide long non-coding RNA. RefSeq lists it as uncharacterized. The transcript has 7 exons. NCBI's taxonomy places the organism in Eukaryota, Metazoa, Arthropoda, Malacostraca, Decapoda, Varunidae. The record is from RefSeq and is a predicted model, not a curated record.